AACAAAAGGGAUACCAAAUAGGGCCUUAUUAAUAUAUGGUCCUAUUGAACUUUUCAAACUAAUGAUUAAUAGGCAAAGUAGUUCCAGUCUAUAACAUAAAAAGAACAUGAUUAUUUGAAUUGAGAUUAUGUAUAUGGCAGUGACCAGAACAACAUAUUGAUCAGGGUACUUAAUGAUUUAUUGACAUUUAUAAAAGGGCAAGAGUAGUACAAUUAAAAGUUAAUUCUUUAUAAAUUAGUAAAAAAGAACAAUAAUAGGGUAAAGAUCAUGCAAAUUUUUCAAACCAAUGUUGUAUUACGAAGAAGCAAUAUCUUGGUAGUAAUUGUUAACAUUUUUUUCUCUUUAUGCUAUUAUUAUUCACAAAGUGAAGAAUGAAAAGCAAAAACCUCCGCCAUUGGAUGGUCAUUAUGUGAACGAAAAUGGAGAUGACAAGCCUCCAACGUCAAUCAUAGUGGGUCCAUUGACGUUAGCCAAAUAUCUCUACUCACUCUCACCACCCGAGGAUUUGACACUGGCGACCAUGUUGGUGAGGUCUUUUCCUCUAUUUAAAAUCAAUGAUCCUAAAUUUAAGUUCACAGGAGAGAGAUUUGGUACUGUGAAAAGGGCUUUUGUUGUUACAGAAGAUGAUUUAGCAGCUCCUAAGAAAUUUCAAAUGUGGAUGGUUGAGAACAAUCCACCUGAUAUUACUGUCGAGAUUAGAGGGUCAGAUCAUAUGGCUAUGGUGUCUAAGCCUCUUGAACUUGCCGAUGGACUCCAACGUAUUGUUCAACAACUCUCUCCUACUUGACUUUUCUUCUUGACUACUUUACUAUUGGACCUUUCAUUGUCUAUCUGGUCACAUAUGGUUCACUAAAAAGUACAAUAUGGGAUGCAUUAUGCCACUGAAUUGAUUAUUUUAGUUGAUA
This is a long non-coding RNA of Cucumis sativus (cucumber), 905 nucleotides long. RefSeq lists it as uncharacterized. The transcript is spliced from 2 exons. NCBI's taxonomy places the organism in Eukaryota, Viridiplantae, Streptophyta, Magnoliopsida, Cucurbitales, Cucurbitaceae. The record is from RefSeq and is a predicted model, not a curated record.